RNAcentral lists this ribosomal RNA (441 nucleotides) under uncultured bacterium. Its description in RNAcentral is "partial 16S ribosomal RNA". It matches the Rfam family "Bacterial small subunit ribosomal RNA", at positions 338 to 795 of the family's 1533-position model. The record is from RNAcentral.
CCUACGGGCGGCAGCAGUGGGGAAUAUUGCACAAUGGGGGAAACCCUGAUGCAGCGACGCCGCGUGAGUGAAGAAGUCUUUCUGUAUGUAAAGCCCUAUCAGCAGGGAAGAAGAAAGACGGUACCUGACUAAGAAGCCCCGGCUAACUACGUGCCAGCAGCCGCGGUAAUACGUAGGGGGCAAGCGUUAUCCGGAUUUACUGGGUGUAAAGGGAGCGUAGACGGCUGUGCAAGUCUGAAGUGAAAGCCCAGGGCUCAACCCUGGGACUGCUUUGGAAACUGUGGAGCUAGUGUGCUGGAGAGGUAAGUGGAAUGCCUGGUGUAGCGGUGAAAUGCGUAGAUAUUGGGAAGAACACCAGUGGCGAAGGCGGCUUGCUGGACAGUAACUGACGUUGAGGCUCGAAAGCGUGGGGAGCGAACAGGAUUAGAUACCCGGGUAGUC